GGCUAUUUGAAAAUCAGAGCAUCUUUUAAAAGGGAGACGGCAUCUGAACCUUGCCGAGUAGGAAUGUUCCAGAAGUAAGAGAGAUGACUAGGGUUUCAAGAACAAGGACCAGCACCUAUGAAGGCUCUGAGGCACAGACCACUGUGACCUGUGGAGAAGUGAUCUCUGCUUCUCUCCAUCUGUUGGACUCAUUCUUUCCUCACAUAGCAGAGCUUUAUUCACACUGCAGGAGACGUGGCAUGGGCAGCUCCAGGCUUCAUCAACCUAGAUUUGCAACUCCCAAG
RNAcentral lists this long non-coding RNA (284 nucleotides) under Homo sapiens (human). RNAcentral's name for it is "HSALNT0096876". Lineage: Eukaryota; Metazoa; Chordata; Mammalia; Primates; Hominidae. The record is from RNAcentral.